UACGUAGGGAGCAAGCGUCGUCCGGAAUCAUUGGGCGUAAAGCGCGCGUAGGUGGCCCGGUAAGUCCGCUCUGAAAGUCACAGGCUCAACCUGUGAAAGCGGGUGGAUACUGCCGGGCUAGAGUCCGGAAGAGGCGAGUGGAAUUCCUGGUGUAGCGGUGGAAUGCGCAGAUAUCAGGAGGAACACCAACGGCGAAGGCAGCUCGCUGGGACGGUACUGACACUGAGGCGCGAAAGCGUGGGGAGCGAACAGG
Molecule: ribosomal RNA, 253 nt
Filed under: uncultured bacterium
Lineage: Bacteria
Description: partial 16S ribosomal RNA
Rfam family: Bacterial small subunit ribosomal RNA
Source: RNAcentral